GACGAACGCUGGCGGCGUGCUUAACACAUGCAAGUCGAACGGAAAGGCCCUGCUUUUGUGGGGUGCUCGAGUGGCGAACGGGUGAGUAACACGUGAGUAACCUGCCCUUGACUUUGGGAUAACUUCAGGAAACUGGGGCUAAUACCGGAUAGGAGCUCCUGCUGCAUGGUGGGGGUUGGAAAGUUUCGGCGGUUGGGGAUGGACUCGCGGCUUAUCAGCUUGUUGGUGGGGUGGUGGCUUACCAAGGCUUUGACGGGUAGCCGGCCUGAGAGGGUGACCGGCCACAUUGGGACUGAGAUACGGCCCAGACUCCUACGGGAGGCAGCAGUGGGGAAUAUUGCACAAUGGGCGGAAGCCUGAUGCAGCAACGCCGCGUGCGGGAUGACGGUCUUCGGGUUGUAAACCGCUUUCGCCUGUGACGAAGCGUGAGUGACGGUAAUGGGUAAAGAAGCACCGGCUAACUACGUG
Molecule: ribosomal RNA, 468 nt
Filed under: uncultured bacterium
Lineage: Bacteria
Description: partial 16S ribosomal RNA
Rfam family: Bacterial small subunit ribosomal RNA
Source: RNAcentral